RNAcentral lists this long non-coding RNA (1115 nucleotides) under Columba livia (rock pigeon). RNAcentral's name for it is "partial uncharacterized LOC102084871". Lineage: Eukaryota; Metazoa; Chordata; Aves; Columbiformes; Columbidae. The record is from RNAcentral.
CAUAUUGCAAGAUAAGACUUUGCCAACCUGAAAAACUAAGCAAGAUUCUAAUUAAAUCAGGGAAAGAAUGAUGAACUAGCUAUACAUUUUAUUUAAGGAUGGCAGUUACAUAAGUUAUCAAAGAUCUCACACUUGCUAUCUGAUGGGAAAUGUUGUUGCCAGAUCUCACAGGCUAUUUCCAGGGAGAGAAAUCCUUGUUCCGCUGGUUCCAAGUACUGUUGUGAUUUUGCCUUCAGUGGGGUCAGGACUCUGCUGCCGCUCUCCGUUUUACUCGGAAGUCACGUCGGUCCUGUUGAAAGCUGCAGAUGAUCCAGCAAUGAAGCAAUGUGUCAGCGUGCUAUGAGGAAACACCGCACUGCGAGUGCUGCCAUGUUUCCAGUGAGGCACAAUGUCCCGACUAUUUAUGGUUAUUAAAGGUCCCCGGUGCACCUUUUGAAAUAUGGAGAUAACGUUGGCGAUUGCGUCCUGUUCCAAACUGCGUGCUGGGCUCCUCUCUCUUUUGGAACGGCGGAUAUUUUCCAGAAACAACCAUGCUGCAGUGGUCCCAUGGAGUUAAACUGAAUUCUGUAACUGUGCGCUUGGUGUCAUCUCCUGUGGAGGUUCACUCUGAUCCCUCCCCUGGCUCCGGAGCCCCAGCUGAACUGUGGCUGAAGAUCUUCACAUGAUAUUAACGCACGUUUGGUGCUGCCUGCCAUCCUGUCGGGACUUUUUCAAAAGCCAGGGCAGCGCUCUGGAUCUCGAGUGCUCCUCCAGGUGCCUGAGCUGCACACAUGUCCCUAUUUUUAAUUUUUAUUUAAUAUUUCCAAGUGAGUAAAACUCUGAAAUUGUACUCUGAAAUUGUACCCACCGCUGCAGAAACUCAAGUGAGGGGCAGCAAAAUUCAAUUUUGCUUAUGCCGCUCGAACUGGCUCUGGUCUCAGGGGCAGGAUUAGUUCUGUACGUGACGCGGGACCACAGCAGAGUCCCAGCCUCAGCAUCAGGCCCCUUGAAGAUCAGACCCCUUCCUGCUGCAAUGAGCCUGGGGGGUCUUCUCCACCUCCCCAUCCCUCUGCCGGAGCCCCUGCGGCAGCAGGACCCGCACCGGGCCUUGUUCAUGCACCAUGGACCCCGACACA